Molecule: RNA transcript, 2041 nt
Organism: Carya illinoinensis
Lineage: Eukaryota; Viridiplantae; Streptophyta; Magnoliopsida; Fagales; Juglandaceae
Gene name: bifunctional peptidase and (3S)-lysyl hydroxylase JMJD7
Exons: 6
Source: RefSeq, a predicted model, not a curated record
UGUUUUUAUACCAAACGUGGCGGCUUUUCAAGUGUUUUGUGUCUAUCCGGUGUUGAGCCAACGAUUUUAAGAACAUCUCCGAAUCUCCAGAGAGCUGCCGCCAUCUCCAAACCUGUUUUGGCUUUGCCGUCCUAGUACAGUAUGAGGGAGAUUGAGGCAUUGUGGGAGGAAGCUAGGGAGCUGAGUCUGGGGAACUCCGGGGGAGUAGAGAGGCUGGACUCUCCCCCAACCCCUCUCCAAUUCCUCAGAGACUUUGUGUCCCCUAACAAGCCCUGUGUUAUCUCCAACGCCACUCGUCACUGGCCCGCCCUCUCCUCCUGGUCCCACGAUUCCUACCUCACUCGAGCCCUCUCCUCUGCUCAUGUCUCCCUCCACCUUACCCCCAAUGGCCGAGCCGACGCUGCCGUCCCCAUAAAUUCCGACGACCCAUCUACCCUCUGCUUCGCCUCCGCACACGCCCUGCGUAUGCCCUUCCCGGAAGCUCUUAAUCUCAUCGUCAAUCCCCAUUCCACCAAUUUCGUGGCGUAUGCCCAGCAGCAGAACGACUGCUUCCGGUCCGAGUACUCGGCGCUGGCUCAGGACUGCGACGCUCACAUCCCUUGGGCCACCGACGCCCUCGGAUGCCUCCCUGAAGCUGUUAAUCUUUGGGUUGGUAACCAUCUUUCCGAGACCUCUUUCCACAAGGACCACUACGAGAAUCUCUACGCCGUCGUUUCCGGUGAGAAGCAUUUCCUGCUGCUUCCUCCCACCGAUGUUCAUCGUAUGUACAUCCGCAACUACCCUGCCGCGCGUUAUUCUUAUUCCCAGGACACUGGAAAGUUUACAUUGGAGUCUGAGAAGCCAAUGAGAUGUGUACCUUGGUGCAGUGUGGAUCCGUAUCCUUCUCCGGAGGCUAAACACAGUGCGAUGUCCAGAUUCCCCUUGUAUUUCAACGGCCCAAAACCCUUUGAGUGUACGGUCAAGGCUGGAGAGAUUCUUUACUUAAAAAUCCUCAACUAUUCUGAAGUUCCGACUGCAAGAAAAAAUGUUCAACUGAGUGACAGUCUCAAAAUCAAUGGAAGUUAGAGAUUCAUGAAAGAACCUGAUCCUGCGAAGGUCAAUUCUUUUAGAGGACUUCAAGGAAAUGGUUUCUAAUCCAGCAAUGUGAAUUGACCUUUUUAGGUUAGAACUGGAUCAGUAUCAUAUAAGUUUAUAAAACUGGAACGGUAAAAUGUGAUGAAGAUGUUUGAGCAAACUAAUUGUUAAGUACUUCUUGCGUAUGAGAUUAUAGAGGAUCUUUCAUGGUUUCAGAGGUGAUACUUCUCUUAUUUAGGAGAAGACUGGAGGACAUCAUCCUGUUGAAUUUCCCAUGAUAAACGUUGAUGGAAUUGUUAUUUCUCAUAGAAUGAGGGAUUGGAAAAACUGGGCUCCUUUUUACCUCAUCUUGACUACAAUGCAAAGCCCUCCUGACUUGAGGGAGGAUAUCAAUCCUGAAUUUAGCAACUUCCAGUGGGUGAUUUAAUGUUUCUAAGACAGUUGGAAAAUUGGGAAGUUCUUAUGAUAAAUUUUGAAACCAAACGGACAUUCACUUGGGGUGUUUUUGCUUGGGAUCUCAAGGGGAACUAUAGUUUUGUGGUUGGUUUGUGUUUGAGCUUAGUGAACAGAGCAAUCCUCUGAGGGUGGCAUAUGAGAAGAAAUCAGAAGUGUGUUUUUAUCUGAUCAUAACUUGAGUUUUUCUUUUAAUAUUUAAUCCUAUCAUUUGAUGUGGCACUUUCUUCUAAACAUAAUUCGAGUUUUAAUUUUAAGGCUGGAUUGUGGAGUUGACGCAGGCCAAGUAUGUGGUUUCAUCAUGUUAGACAGAGUCCAGAUGCUGCAGGGCGGACUAUUGCAAUAAACUACUGGUAUGAUAUGCAGUUUGAUAUCAAGUAUGCCUAUUUCAACUUCUUGCAAUCAGUUCCUUACCGCUCAACUCAUAAUCCAACAUUGCCUGGAACAAUGUCUGAUGACUUGGAUUUGGAUUCAGACUCUGAUUCAUUUGCAUAUGGCUUUAAGGACAAAUUAG